This 504-nucleotide ribosomal RNA is filed under the name uncultured bacterium. RNAcentral's name for it is "bacterial SSU rRNA". It matches the Rfam family "Bacterial small subunit ribosomal RNA", at positions 9 to 526 of the family's 1533-position model. The record is from RNAcentral.
GAGUUUGAUCCUGGCUCAGGACGAACGCUGGCGGCGCGCCUAACACAUGCAAGUCGAACGGAGCUUAGAGAGCUUGCUUUUUAAGCUUAGUGGCGAACGGGUGAGUAACGCGUGAGGAACCUGCCUCAAAGAGGGGGACAACAGUUGGAAACGACUGCUAAUACCGCAUAAGCCCACGGGUCGGCAUCGACCAGAGGGAAAAGGAGCAAUCCGCUUUGAGAUGGCCUCGCGUCCGAUUAGCUAGUUGGUGAGGUAACGGCCCACCAAGGCAACGAUCGGUAGCCGGACUGAGAGGUUGAACGGCCACAUUGGGACUGAGACACGGCCCAGACUCCUACGGGAGGCAGCAGUGGGGAAUAUUGCACAAUGGGGGAAACCCUGAUGCAGCGACGCCGCGUGGAGGAAGAAGGUCUUCGGAUUGUAAACUCCUGUUGUUGAGGAAGAUAAUGACGGUACUCAACAAGGAAGUGACGGCUAACUACGUGCCAGCCGCCGCGGUAAUAC